CUAAAAUUUACUUUAUGCACUUAAUUAGAUAUACCAGUGUCACGACUGGUUGGACAAGCUACAUGUAUCAAUUACAGGGUAAUUUAAACAAAAUGUUACGUCAAUUUCAUAAAUUAUAAACUUGUUUGUAUCCAUGCAUGUCGAAUAAUAAUAUUUAUAGAAUACUCACCUGUAUCAGUAUUCUCAUCUAAAAUUCGCGGCGGAUGAUAUAUCACAUAUUUUAAAAUUGAAAACGAAUAGAAAGUGUCGAAAAAACUGUAAGUAUUUUAUAUCUCUAUAUUUAUUGCUUUUUUGUAGUUAGAAUUAACAAUCAAAUGUUUUGUGGUAGAAUAAUCGAUUAUUCUUAGUUUAAACACCAACCAAUAAUAUUUUGUGGAUAGAACGAUUUUUUUUCUGGAAACAAAAUACAUCGUCUUUAAUAAAACACGUGAUUUUUUAAAAUAAACAAGAGUUAGAGAUUUGAAUAGGGAAACAGAUUUGAUAAAUAUAAAUGUAUAAAAGUAUUUUAUAGUGUGUCUUUCUAUGUUGUAAUGUUACACUAUUAUUUCAGAUAAGAAUGAAGGUUUGGUAUCAUUAAAACUCAUACCACAUCUUCUUAUAUAAUAAAGGAUCAUUUUAAUCAUGUAAACAGAUGUUAUAUUUCCAAUUAGAAACUGAUGACGCACGAUAACCCACGUGUCGUACAUUUCACUUCAAAAUCACAAAUCAGUGUUAUUGAAAUAAUUUGCUUAAAGUAAGAUUAGACCUACGCCUGUUUAUCUUUUUGCAGUUUGAAUUGCAUAAAAGGUGGCUCGUUAACAGUCUUUCGAAAGGUUUUUCUACGCUUAGCGGUCCAGAAAAUGUUACCUUAUUUAGAAUGAAAUAUUUGACAAUUUCACAAACUUGGUAUGCUAUAUCUGUUCAAUUUGAUAACAUAUUGAUUGUAUUAAAAGGACGUACUUUGGGGAAUAAAAACAAAAUCUAGAAUCUACAAUUGUUACUAGUAGUAUAAGACUAAGUUAGAAUAUCAUUUUAAUUUACUUUAUUCACAGAAAAAGCUAAAAAUAUUGAUAGGUUUUAAAAUUUUGAUCUCCUUUUCGAUUUUAAUUGACUUUUGUUGAAUAGUGUGAGAAGGAUGACUCAGACUUUUACCUUAUAUGUGACCCGCCACGACAUAUCAAGACUGUUGGAGGUAGAACGUCAUCGUGUGAAAAACGCCAUGAACCAUAUACGAUUAGACACUUCCUGCCUUAUGAGGGUACAUUGUUUCAAAUUUGCUAAUCUAUAUGGAACAUAAAUUUCUAGACAUGCUAUUAUGGCCUAUUUUUAAACAAGUAGAUUCGAAAACUGGCAUGAUAAUGAGACUUUUCGACGACGACCUUUUAUUAUCGAAUACGCUAACUUAUAUUUAGUAUGCGACACGUAACAAAUUUAAGUAUUUGUACAUGUUCUCAUAUAACAAAUGUAUAGACAUUUGAUACGGUACAUAAAUUAUGUAUAUAUUUUAGAUCCUAUUCAUGAAAAUUUAAAGAGCAGAGUGUUUUGAUGUAUUUUUUUUUAUCAAUUUAAAAUGUAUAAAUUCAAUUAAUAACGUAAAACUUCUGCAGACACUAUAUGAUGUAUAGUUCAGUGCCCUCGAUAAAGAUGCAUAGAUGAGGUUCGGAACUCUACUUCACAAAUGCGUAACAGUAUACAAUUGAAUCUCGAUCAAAUUAUCAUUUAGAAGUUGUUUUUUUUUUAGCAUAUAUAAUUACAAACUGCUGAUGAAAGCAAACUUAACAAAGUGUUUGUUCGGUUUUUAUAGAGCAGUUUUGAAAUACAAUUAUUUUGUAUAUAUAUGUUUUUUUAAUAUUAUGCAUUUUUUUAAAAAAAAUUUUGAGGAUGAGCGAAUCAGGCCCAAGACCACAAUUAAUGACCCCGCUAUAGUUCCCUUUAAUUAUAGUGUAUUUUUUUUAUUUUUUUUUCCCUUUUUCAUUCCUUUCUUUGCUUUUCUGGGGUGGACAUGAAAGAAGAGAGCUGAAAUAAACUUUUGGAUGUUUUAUUUUAACUAAUUUUAAUAAGGAAAGAGUGAUUAGGCCAGGUGCGAAAAGGUAAUAUUUACACUUUUCGGAACAUCUCUUGACUUGCCUAUAGGGGUAUGGAUGUGUAUUAGCUAAAUUUGUAUGAUGUACUUGUACUGUAGAUUACACACAAAAAAAAAUUAGACAAAAAGAAUAGGCAAAAUUUUUUUAAUGCGAAAAAACGUUAUAAAGAAAUGAUAGAGGAAUUAAUUGUGGUCUCGGGCCAUCAGGUGAGUAGGUGUGUUCGUUUGCUUUAUCACUUUGUACUUUUUGUUUUGGGGAAGGUUAACUUUCUAGUAGUAAGACCCGUCACGGCCAGGCUUGGACACUGGAAAGGCAAAUGCUCACAUUAAAUCUGUACCGAUAAAGUCUGUUAAAUGUCUUCUUUUUUACACCAUAACACAUGGUGGUGCUCCUUUACAAUUUCGAUAUAGGACAUGAUAAUAGGGAAUGACGAUUGCAUUGAAACUUAUAAUAACAUAUAUAUUCGAUAUGAUAUGACUUACAUAUGAAUUCAUCUGUAAAAUUACGGUUAUGAUCUUAUAUUCAUUGUUCAAUGAACCUCAGAAAAUGAUAAAAUGAGUGCAUUAGCAGUUAUACUUUUAUUAACUUUGGGUUGGUUUAUUAGAACUUAAUUUGAUAUGCUUUGUAAAGCACAAAAGGACAAAUAACUCUUAGUUGAGUUAUUUUGCUUAUAUAAUUUUAAAAGGAUAUAAAUGGAGAGUGCACUUGACCAUACUGUCAUACACGUAACCCCAGUACAUAUACAUAAACCGGAAUAAUUUUUGUGUUGCAUCCUGGCAGAUCAUGAGAGACUCUAGCACUGAAAUGAAGAGGUAAAACGGUUCCGCAAGAAAGACAGUCGUGCAAUGACAUCCACCAAUGGCCAUUAUACAUUGCUGUGAAUUAUCAUAUGCAGGAGUAAUAAAUGCAUUUCAUAGAAAAUUGGUUGAAGUUUUCUUUUCAGGUCUCUAUUUCGUUGUCCGGCAAGUUACUUAACACGAACAACUAGAAACAUAGCAUUCAAUCACAACAGACAUCGUCAAGAUUCAAAUUUAAUGAUGCAGAUAUCUAAAACGCCGCGUAAAAAGGUAAAAAUAACCAUCAUGGUAAAAUUGUAUACAUCAUUUUUAGCAUAAAUAAAGCGUUUUUUCACAUUUUAAAAAUUUUGUUUUGUUUUUUUUGUUUUAUUUUAGGUAACCAUAAUGGGAACUUUUAUGGGACAUGUCUUUCCAGGGUCAAUUUUCAUAAUCAUUGGAAUAUGGUGGAUGGUAAAUAUAUUGAGGAGAUAUUUUGAUUGCAAAAACAGCAAUGCACCUUUUUCAUCAACAGUUACAUUCAAGUUGAAGAGGUUUCCUAUUGAGGCAGUGUGUAAAGUAUUGUUCAUAACAGUUGGACUUAUUGAUGAAUUGACAUUAAACAAUAAACAGCAUGCAACAAUGUACGCUUUCUUCGGAUUAACAGGGAUUGUAGAUCUUAUGGUCUUCUUCAACACACUUCCAAUAAAAGAUCUCGAUUACGUCACAUUGAGCUUUGCAUUAUUGAUGGAAGCUAUUUUAUUCAAAUAUCAUCUUUUUGGACGAGACACUCUCAAUGUGGUCUUGCAUCAUUUGCUUAUAUUUGUAAUCUUGACAACAUUUGCUGUUACCUUAUUAGAAAUGAAGUUUAAAAAUGUAGUAACUUUACCAUUGUUUCGGUCGUAUCUUUUGAUUUUACAAGGAACUUGGUUUUAUCAAGUAGGAUGCAUAUUAUACAAAAAUCCAUUCUUUGAGCCUUGGAAAAGUAACGACAAUAACAACUUGAUGAAUACAGGUUUAAUAUUUACCUGGCAUUGUGGAAUUAUUUUUAUUGCAUUUAUAUUAACUGUCUGCGUAUUUUCAAUACUGUAUAGACAAAAAGAACCAAUAAAACGGACAUUUGACCAAUCGAACAGCUCUGAGUGUGAAACUGAAUUACUUUUAGAAGAAAAUUAAUUAAUAUGAUCUGAAUCGAAACUCUUUAUGCUAGCAAAUUAGGAAUGCUUAUAUAUACUAUUAUAACAAUUUUAUUGCAAACAUAUGAGUCGUUUGGAGUCAUAGUGUACGUCUCUGGAAUAGACCUGUCAAAUUUGAUGAUAAGAGAGAUCGGGAAAUAAUUGGUAUUCUAAUUUCAAAGACAUACUCACCCAACUUAAUGUGAGAGCAAGCAAGUUUUUAGUAUGACGUUGUUCGAAUCCAGUUUGAAACAUAUUUAUCUGUUUAUGAAAAAAAAACCACCAACAUUGUAACAACAUAUGUGAUAGUGAAGGCGAACUUCAGAUUAAAAACACUCGUUUGAUAACGCAAUUAUCAUUUAGUAUGAACAAAUCUACUGAACGGUCUUUCCUGAAACAACUUAGAUGUGAAGUUCUUCCUUUUAGGCUAGAGGCGAAAACAUAUACAGUGAUAACAAUGAGUGCGUCUGUCAAGUUUGUGCUGCUUGCGCAACAAGCGUCAGAUAAAUUUAGCAUUGAACCCAACAACUUUUUAAAUUGAUUUAAUUUGCUUCUCAAAAUUCUGCCAGGGCAUCCUGUCCAGGAAUCAAUAUUGAAAGUUUUUUUUUCACUCUGCUCAGAAUAUUUGGAGGGAAUUGCUGUCAACAGGACUCAUCGCCAACUAUGAAAAGGAGAAUCAGACAUUAAUUAACUAAUACUCAGGAUAGCAGUUUUUCCUCUGAUACCAAGAAUUAGAUUGAAAAAGAAGACGUCGGUUACAAUGCAUUUUAAAACCAGGAAAAUUAUAACCUAUCGGCAAAUACCGCUUAGUUUCCGGACUACGUCACAACAUAAUGGGUUUAAGGCAACCGACAGCUAUUGAACCAUCAUCGAGUCGAAGGACCAAGGUUGACGAACAACCUCAAAUGUAUGCACAGGAGCUUAUUCUUUAGUUUUCUAUGUUGUGUCAUGUGUACUAUUGUUUGUCUGUUUGUCUUUAUCAUUUUUAGCCAUGGCGUUGUCAGUUUAUUUUCGAUUUAUGAGUUUGACUGUCCCUCUGAUAUCUUUCGUCCCUCUUUUAUAAUAAAUCUGGAUAUAAGGACAAAUUAUUUGGUGUUAAUUUACUACAGUUAUUGGUUUGUAUACAUUUAAAUUGUGUGUACUAGGAUGGAAAGGAUUAUUGCAAUGUCAUUGAUGAGAUUAGAAUACAGGUGUACUUUACGCUUAGAAAAUUCUGUUUUUAUAUACCUUUC
This 5243-nucleotide long non-coding RNA is filed under the name Mytilus galloprovincialis (Mediterranean mussel). Lineage: Eukaryota; Metazoa; Mollusca; Bivalvia; Mytilida; Mytilidae. The record is from RNAcentral.